AAAUUGAAGAGUUUGAUCAUGGCUCAGAUUGAACGCUGGCGGCAGGCCUAACACAUGCAAGUCGAACGGUAACAGGAAGCAGCUUGCUGCUUUGCUGACGAGCGGCGACGGGUGAGUAAUGUCUGGGAAACUGCCUGAUGAGGGGAUAACUACUGGAAACGGUAGCUAAUACCGCAUAACGUCGCAAGACCAAAGAGGGGGACCUUCGGGCCUCUUGCCAUCGGAUGUGCCCAGAUGGGAUUAGCUAGUAGGUGGGGUAACGGCUCACCUAGGCGACGAUCCCUAGCUGGUCUGAGAGGAUGACCAGCCACACUGGAACUGAGACACGGUCCAGACUCCUACGGGAGGCAGCAGUGGGGAAUAUUGCACAAUGGGCGCAAGCCUGAUGCAGCCAUGCCGCGUGUAUGAAGAAGGCCUUCGGGUUGUAAAGUACUUUCAGCGGGGAGGAAGGGAGUAAAGUUAAUACCUUUGCUCAUUGACGUUACCCGCAGAAGAAGCACCGGCUAACUCCGUGCCAGCAGCCGCGGUAAUACGGAGGGUGCAAGCGUUAAUCGGAAUUACUGGGCGUAAAGCGCACGCAGGCGGUUUGUUAAGUCAGAUGUGAAAUCCCCGGGCUCAACCUGGGAACUGCAUCUGAUACUGGCAAGCUUGAGUCUCGUAGAGGGGGGUAGAAUUCCAGGUGUAGCGGUGAAAUGCGUAGAGAUCUGGAGGAAUACCGGUGGCGAAGGCGGCCCCCUGGACGAAGACUGACGCUCAGGUGCGAAAGCGUGGGGAGCAAACAGGAUUAGAUACCCUGGUAGUCCACGCCGUAAACGAUGUCGACUUGGAGGUUGUGCCCUUGAGGCGUGGCUUCCGGAGCUAACGCGUUAAGUCGACCGCCUGGGGAGUACGGCCGCAAGGUUAAAACUCAAAUGAAUUGACGGGGGCCCGCACAAGCGGUGGAGCAUGUGGUUUAAUUCGAUGCAACGCGAAGAACCUUACCUGGUCUUGACAUCCACGGAAGUUUUCAGAGAUGAGAAUGUGCCUUCGGGAACCGUGAGACAGGUGCUGCAUGGCUGUCGUCAGCUCGUGUUGUGAAAUGUUGGGUUAAGUCCCGCAACGAGCGCAACCCUUAUCCUUUGUUGCCAGCGGUCCGGCCGGGAACUCAAAGGAGACUGCCAGUGAUAAACUGGAGGAAGGUGGGGAUGACGUCAAGUCAUCAUGGCCCUUACGACCAGGGCUACACACGUGCUACAAUGGCGCAUACAAAGAGAAGCGACCUCGCGAGAGCAAGCGGACCUCAUAAAGUGCGUCGUAGUCCGGAUUGGAGUCUGCAACUCGACUCCAUGAAGUCGGAAUCGCUAGUAAUCGUGGAUCAGAAUGCCACGGUGAAUACGUUCCCGGGCCUUGUACACACCGCCCGUCACACCAUGGGAUGGGUUGCAAAAAGAGUAGGUAGCUUAACCUUCGGGAGGGCGCUUACCACUUUGUGAUUCAUGACUGGGGGUGAAGUCGUAACAAGGUAACCGUAGGGAACCUGCGGUUGGAUCACCUCCUUA
This 1538-nucleotide ribosomal RNA is filed under the name Escherichia coli TW07793. RNAcentral describes it as "bacterial SSU rRNA". It matches the Rfam family "Bacterial small subunit ribosomal RNA". The record is from RNAcentral. Lineage: Bacteria; Pseudomonadati; Pseudomonadota; Gammaproteobacteria; Enterobacterales; Enterobacteriaceae.